This 29-nucleotide small RNA is filed under the name Bombyx mori (domestic silkworm). RNAcentral's name for it is "ovarian small RNA-17270". Lineage: Eukaryota; Metazoa; Arthropoda; Insecta; Lepidoptera; Bombycidae. The record is from RNAcentral.
GGACCGCUUGAGGUGUGCAGCAUCCCUGC